GAGCUGGCGGUUUCUGACUGCCAGCAUCGGAAUGAGAACAAUCUAAAUCUGUUAUCGAGCACCUAGCAGAGGGCAAGUCUGGUGCCAGCAGCCGCGGUAAUUCCAGCUCUGCAAGUGUAUAUCAAUGUUGCUGUGGUUAAAAGCUUCGUAGUUGGAUCUGUGUGACCAGGGUCCGGUCCGGCCUUUGUGUCGUGUACUGGUGCCCGUCACUUACCACUGCUGGUCUUGUCCUGAUGCGUUUAACCGCGUGUCAGUGGCUGGCUAGCGAGUUUACUUUGAAAAAAUUAGAGUGCUCAAAACAGGCGCUUUGCCUGAAUACUUCUGCAUGGAAUAAUGGAAGAGGACCUCGGUUCUGUUUGUUGGUUUUGGAGCAUGAGGUAAUGAUUAAGAGGAACAGACGGGGGCAUUCGUAUUCCGACGUUAGAGGUGAAAUUCUUGGAUCGUUGGAAGACGAACUACUGCGAAGGCAUUUGCCAA
RNAcentral lists this ribosomal RNA (477 nucleotides) under Sphaerolaimus sp. RNAcentral's name for it is "SSU rRNA". It matches the Rfam family "Eukaryotic small subunit ribosomal RNA", at positions 482 to 961 of the family's 1831-position model. Lineage: Eukaryota; Metazoa; Nematoda; Chromadorea; Monhysterida; Sphaerolaimidae. The record is from RNAcentral.